CCUACGGGGGGCAGCAGUGGGGAAUAUUGCACAAUGGGGGAAACCCUGAUGCAGCGACGCCGCGUGAGUGAAGAAGUAUCUCGGUAUGUAAAGCUCUAUCAGCAGGGAAGAAAAUGACGGUACCUGAUUAAGAAGCCCCGGCUAACUACGUGCCAGCAGCCGCGGUAAUACGUAGGGGGCAAGCGUUAUCCGGAUUUACUGGGUGUAAAGGGAGCGUAGACGGCAGCGCAAGUCUGAAGUGAAAUGCCGGGGCUUAACCCCGGAACUGCUUUGGAAACUGUGCAGCUAGAGUGCAGGAGAGGUAAGUGGAAUUCCUAGUGUAGCGGUGAAAUGCGUAGAUAUUAGGAGGAACACCAGUGGCGAAGGCGGCUUACUGGACUGUAACUGACGUUGAGGCUCGAAGGCGUGGGGAGCGAACAGGAUUAGAUACCCUUGUAGUC
RNAcentral lists this ribosomal RNA (440 nucleotides) under uncultured bacterium. Its description in RNAcentral is "partial 16S ribosomal RNA". It matches the Rfam family "Bacterial small subunit ribosomal RNA", at positions 338 to 795 of the family's 1533-position model. The record is from RNAcentral.